AAGGUAGCCCAAAUUUACCAGACUUUAUCAGAGCCUUGUGUUGCGAAAAACUGCUUUAUUGCUGAGAAAGGCUGAGCUGGGCUUGGGUGCUUUACCAGAUCUGUGAUUUUAAGCAAGUCCCUUUAAUAUUUCUCCAGUAUGUUUGUGUAUGUGGGCCCCACUACUCAUGCUGAGCCUGUGUGAAUGGCAGCAUCAAGAGCCACUAAAUCUUUGUUGAUGUUCUUUUAAAGGGAAAAUAAAAACCCCUUGACUCUGACAUUUACAAUAGGUAUUAUCUGCUCUCUGACAUUUGAGCUCAUAAACUGAGGUCAACCGAAUUUCUGUUCUUAACUUACCCCACUGUAUCAGACCAGAUAUGAAGUGACUGGCUGUCCCUUCCUCUAAAUAGCAGCCACCUGCCCCUGGCUCCCAGCACGUGAGUCAGGAAGCCUGGGAGUCAUUUCAGUGAUGAUGGACUGAGCCUCAAGAAAAUAAAUGAGUGUCCUCGGGAGUGUAUGGCAGAGCAGGGAACCAGCUGAAGGUCUUCUGCAGCCCACUCUUGUACCUUUAUAAGUAAUUUCUUUGAGCCCACAGGCAUUUGGGAGGUCUGUGUGCACUGCAGCAGCUGUGCCUGGUGUCAAUGGCUGCUAUGGCAGCGCAGCCGCGCCCUCAGCGAGGACUUUGGGGAGGUGGCCGUGCCCCUGCUGUGGGUGCAGGCAGGGCAUGCUGUGGUCAGGAGCUGCUGGUUCUGCCAGCAAGGCUGGCCCCAGAGGGAGGGGGAUGCUCUGGGCUGCUUUCCUGAGGCUGUGUGAUGGCGGUGAUAUCACACUGCUGUCUCUGACAUGCAGGCUUGGUUUUAAAGGGCUGAGAAUCAGGACGAGGUUUUCAUGACUCCUUGGAAGACAGGAACCAAACUCACUGUAACCCAGAGCUCGGUCCACCAUUCCUUUCUCCUGGCAGCAUUCUGGCACUCACGUGCAGCACAGAGACCAGCAGCAGCUGUAAAACUUGCACAGCAGUGUUAACCCUGCUGAGUGAAAGGCAGGGCAAUGAAGUUGGUGAAGAGUCUGGAGCACAAGUUCUAGUUCUUGUGUUCUAGUUUUAGCACAAGGAGCAGCUGAGGGAGCUGGAGUGUUUAGCCUGGAGAAAAGGAUGCUCAGGGGAGAACUUUUCCCUGUCUACAACUGCCUGAAAAGAGGCUGUAGCCAGGUGGGGAUCAGCCUCUUCUCCCAGUCAGUGACAACAGGACGUGGCCCCAAACUGUGCCAGGGGAGGUUUCUGUUUGGACAUAGAAUUUCUUCACAGAAAGGAUAAUUAGACAUUGGAAUGUACUGCCCAGGGAGGGGGUGGAGUCGCAGUCCCUGAAGGUGUUGAAGGAAAGGCUGGACACAGCACUCGUCUGGUUCAAUUUGAUGAUUUCAGAGGUCUUUUCCAACCAUGUGAUUAUCUGCUUAUGCUGCUAAUGACAGAAGCUCAGCUUACAAUAGAAGUAUAUUCUUUUGUUCAGUCUGAUGAAAAAUCCAGUAUACUUUUGUCCUCUUGAGAGUGCCACACUGCACAGAAAUCUCAGGCAUUCCAGUUUUGAAAUCUAGUAUUUUUUUAAAUUCAGUUUGUAACAGGUGGAUGAUGCACCAAGUUAAAAAAAUUACUUUGCUGGUAAAAAGUAAUUUUUGCUACUUAUUCCUUUAAAUCCUUUAAUUAAAUGGUGAAGAGCUACAAAUCAGCUAAAUCACUACAGUUGCAUUUUGUGUCCAUCUAAGUGCUUAAUGUGGUCCCAACAGAAUUUAUCAUUUAGUGCAAAGAGGACAGUGACACACAGGACAACUCUGUGGGGUAUCACAGCUGAAAAGAGUUGUAAAAAAAUCUUGUGGAGAGUGAGUCAGGUGGAGUUUGCUCCUUUAACUCUUAGAGCCAGAAGCAUCUUCUUUACUGGCAGUUGUGUGUAAAGCACGAGUGCUCCCGAGAGCAGCUGAAUGCCAGCCUCACCUUCCUGCAGCGAGUACAGACAGGCUGCCUGCAGGUGUCACACUUGGGCUGCACAGUGGCAUAAAUGCCAGGCAGGAGCAGCUGCGCCUUCUGGUUUGUUUCUUAAACCAAAGCAACCUCACGUUUAGUUUUUUAGUUAAAAAAUAAACAUUAAAUCUCAAGUUUGUUCUGUUCCAAUCAAAACAGGGAGAACUGCAGACAACACUAACAUGGUCACUUCCCAUACUUGUUUUAAUGCAAAUACUUCUGAGAAAUAAAAAAGGUAUGUUUGAAACUGCUGCGCACUCUGCAGCCAUCUCAAGACCAGCAGCAUAAGCUUUCUCAGCCUUCUGCCUCCUUAUAUGUUCAUAACUUUUUUUUUCAUUCACCACUGCCACCAGGCUUCCAGAGGGGGACACACAUGAAAUGUAAGAGGACCCAAAGGAGCUGUCACACCUUCCCUCAGAAUGAGAACUGAGAAAAAUACUGUUUCUAAUCCUCUGUCUUGCAAUAUGGUGAUGAUACUAAUUAUAAACAACAGUUUCAUGUAGAAGAGUUUGUUACAGAAAUCUACUAAAAGAGAAGAGCAAAAGACUUAAUUACCAGAUUUGGACACUGCUUUACUUUCCUGAAGGAACAGGGCAAGUGGUACUUGACUGCAGACUAAAAAGUGACAAUACCUUUUAGAAGCAGCAGGUCUGAAGCCAGUUCUCCAUAACUACAGCAGUUAACUAGGGGAAAACAUUUUAACCUACUGGCUUAAUUACAAACUGGGGGACUAUGCUGGGAUAAAUGAUUAAUUAGAAAUUUUACAGCUCAAAUUUUGUUAAAUUUAAUAUUAAGUGGCUAUCAAAUAGAAUUAAACCUGCCCUUAUUAAUACCAAGAUAAGACAAAGAUGCCAUUCACAUUACUAUUGAAUCCAUUGCUUAUAGCAAAAUGCAGAUUACAGAAAAAUACCAAGUUCAAAACUAACUUCUUGCUUGUACAUGAGCUAAAGAUGCAGGCAUUCAUGUAGAAGGUAGAUAAAACAAAAUUAAAAUUUUGUACUUCUCCAUUCCAAGAGGGCUUAGUAGGUACACUUUUACAUGGCUAUUUUCUGCAUAAAUUCCAGAAUUUUUAAAAUUAAAAUUUUGUUUCAUGUGGUGGUCUGAAGUGAGUAUAAAUCCUGAAAAAUGAAAGGUAGGCUUGUGUACUUCAGGCUGCCCAUACAAAUCACUCUGGAUGAAAAUUUAGAGUUUUUCAUGUAAGUCUGAACUCUGCAGGGUCCUUCUGGAACAAAGACACAAGUCUACUUCUGUCAAUGAAAUCACAGACUUAACCCACAUACAGUGUUGUACUCAGCUCAUGAAUUACAGUGGGCAUAAACCAAUACUGGUAACUUCUAGAAAAGUGAAUACAGCUCCUGAAAAAACAACCCAAACAACCAGAAAAAAUACCCCAUAAAAUAAUAUCCUCUAAAUUUCUAAAACACUUUUUCAAAAACACUUGUUGUAAAAACAAUGAUCUAGGAAGUAUUUUGUGGUAAGAAUAUUUUAUAUAUAUUUUUACACUUUUAACACUUACAAAAACAUUCAAACACAAAAAAAAAUUAAAUAACUUUGGGAGCAGAAUAAAUCCUUCUGCCUACACACAUACAUCAAUUCCAAGCUGUUGGCACAAAAAGUAAUCCACAUUCAUAAAACCCUUACUACUAUAUCAAACAUAAGUUAAGUAAAUCAUAGGCACUAUUUUAUCAAAUCCAUAUUUCCACAAUGCUGCAGUAAAUCUCUAAACACAGAGCCCCACGAUUUCCUGAUGUCAAUGAACUGGUAAUGCACAAAGGCUUUUUAGCAAACAGUCUGUCUUCUCAGGAAGUCAUUUGCUGUAUUUUGGGGAGAACAGCAGAGAAAAAAAAUCCCUAUAAAACUCAAGCUGAAUUUACCCAAGCGAUGAAUUACUUAACUUAAGGAAACGUACACAAGUUUGAUGCAGCCAUGGUAAAACCCCCAAUACUGUCACCUAAACUGACUUUCAAAAUUUGUACGUCAAGUGAAGUUUGAUAAAAUCCAUCAAUUUAAAUUCCCCUUUCUUCAGUGAAGACUGCAGCAUUGAUUUGUACAAUGCUGAAAAAUUAAAAUUCAGGCUUUGCUGAGAAUAUGCACAUUUAAUCUAGUCCUGUUUUCUGCUGAAUAGUGCUGUGAGAUACAUCCAUUCCCUGUACCUGCAGGUGACUCAAGGCUACAUUAGUGGUAUGUACUGCUCUGUACUGGUGAAAGGUGGUUUCUGUUGAAAUCUGACAAUUACAGCAUAUUUGACAAAACAACUCUGAAGUCUUAAGCCCAGAUCCUGAUCUGGUGUGUGAAGUCACCCAUCAACCCAGAGCUUGCUUGAGUAGUUUAAGUUGCAAGUUAGUCUCCACUCCUUCCUAUUUGGUUUCUUCCAAGUCAAGUAGUAUUGAAUGGCUUUUCAUCCAGGAAUAUGUUAAUGUUGGCCUAAAAUUCAAGUGCUAGAAUUUCAGGAUUAAUUAUCCUCUUUGUGGUGGGAGCAAAAUACA
Molecule: long non-coding RNA, 4478 nt
Organism: Passer domesticus (house sparrow)
Lineage: Eukaryota; Metazoa; Chordata; Aves; Passeriformes; Passeridae
Exons: 3
Source: RefSeq, a predicted model, not a curated record